GGGGAAUUUUGGACAAUGGGCGCAAGCCUGAUCCAGCCAUGCCGCGUGCAGGAUGAAGGCCCUCGGGUUGUAAACUGCUUUUGUACGGAACGAAAAGCCUCUUUCUAAUAAAGAGGGGUGAUGACGGUACCGUAAGAAUAAGCACCGGCUAACUACGUGCCAGCAGCCGCGGUAAUACGUAGGGUGCGAGCGUUAAUCGGAAUUACUGGGCGUAAAGCGUGCGCAGGCGGUCUUGCAAGACAGUGGUGAAAUCCCCGGGCUCAACCUGGGAACUGCCAUUGUGACUGCAAGGCUGGAGUACGGCAGAGGGAGAUGGAAUUCCGCGUGUAGCAGUGAAAUGCGUAGAUAUGCUGAGGAACACCGAUGGCGAAGGCAGUCCCCUGGGCCUGUACUGACGCUCAUGCACGAAAGCGUGGGGAGCAAACA
This 426-nucleotide ribosomal RNA is filed under the name uncultured bacterium. Its description in RNAcentral is "bacterial SSU rRNA". It matches the Rfam family "Bacterial small subunit ribosomal RNA", at positions 356 to 774 of the family's 1533-position model. The record is from RNAcentral.